Helianthus annuus (common sunflower) is the source of this 1095-nucleotide long non-coding RNA. RefSeq lists it as uncharacterized. Lineage: Eukaryota; Viridiplantae; Streptophyta; Magnoliopsida; Asterales; Asteraceae. The record is from RefSeq and is a predicted model, not a curated record. The transcript has 2 exons.
UCGUUAAAAUAGGUCUGCCCACCCUCUUCUUGGGGCAGACAUGGACCAACCUCUUUUUACCUCUUCUAUCAUCUUCUCCUCUUCCUUCUUCCCUUCCCUCUUCCCUCUUCUGCUCUCAAACAACAAAACCCUAACUUCCUCACCCCAUCUCCUCCACCACCUCAUCACCCUCCCACCGCCGUCCGCCACCCACCUCCCUCCUCACCAGCCCCAGCCACCUUGUUCUUCUCCUCCACCCUACUCCUCUUCCCACCUCCGCCACCUACCAGCGCCACCACCUCCGCCACCUCCACAACGGUCGUCGACCUCCGCCAACCCUGCCCGUCGACGACCUAUCCGCCACCUUCCCACUGUCGUCCGGCAAAAGGUUGACCACUUGAAUCACACAUAAUAUAAUGAAAAAGCCCCUGAAUUUAUUUAUCUUUUUUCCAUAUUCGUUCAUAAUCCUGUAGAAACCCACACACUUGAGGCAGUUGAGACAUUAAAGAAUGCCUCUGGAUUUCAAAGAUUUUCAAGAAAAGGUUUCAACUGGGUUCAGACCAUGGCAACCCUCCUUUGAAUUCUGGGUUCUUGCUGUCGAUAUCUACACUGGUUAUAAGUUUCCUCCAAAAUUGGGAACUUCAGUGCAUUCGCUUCAUAUACUUGAGAAAGCUAUUCAAAGAGCUGCAUAAAUUUACUUGUUCAAAGAGUGAUCUAUUUAUGUUUCAUCAUAGCAUUCAGAAAAGUUAAAGAGAUGUCUGGAUUUUCAACAGAUCAGGUAUAGUUUUUAAUUCCCAUGUUUCAAGUUUCAACUUAGUUAUAUAAUCUAGCUAGGUUAAGGGUCUUGUUUUAGUUUAAAUGGGUUUGUUUGGAUAAUAUAUAUUUUGUAACUACUCAAGCUUGUUCACCUAAAUUUUGUAACUAAUAUUUGAUGGAGGUGCUAAUGUCUCAUUUAAAUGAUAAAGGGUAUACUUUUGAAAUUUCUACCAAUAGAGUUUCAAACAUGUUGGAAGACUUAUUCUUUGUUCCUAAAAUCUCAUACAAGUACUUCCUUGAUUUUCCACAUGUGUUGCUUAUGGAUGUCACAUACAAUACGAACAAGUAUAAAUUGCCUUU